GGGUUGGGCACUCCAUGUGGUUGCACGGACCCUGUUAUGACAAAAUAAAAAUUAUUCAGCGGCAACGCGCGGGCAUUUUUCCUAUAAUACCUAAAAGUCUCUCUUUCUUCUUUUUUAUUUCCCACUUUGAUUUUUUGCCCACCCUCUUUCCAUAGGUUUUGGAAUACCUCUCUUUCUCAGGGAUAACCUAGUCAUGACCUUAUUUUGUGACAACAAUCAAAGGAAAAUCUGGAUUCUUGGAGGGAUUUUUAUCUCCUCUAUGGCGGUCGCCCUUCUCUUGUCCCCCAAGAUCUGCUCCACCUCGUGUCUCCUCCGGCGACGACGAAGGCCCGACGGUGGCGCUCAUCUUUCUUCUCCUUCGACGAAGGGUGCCAGCCGGAGUCACAUCUUGCAGCAGCUGAAAAUCUCUUGCCGAAGCAAUCCGUCCAUCUGUCAGCGGGGCUCCAACAAGCUUGUGAUUUUCUCUCUCACGCAUGCCUUCUUUUUCUCCCAUUCCUUGAUUUCGGUGUUUCAUCAUGCGUUCAUGGUUGCUCCGUCUGUGCAUGUGAAACGAGUAUGGUUUCUUUCUCCUGUUCUUUUACUAAUUCAGAAUUGUUUUGGUCCGCAACCAUUAAUCCUAAAAAAACAGAGAGAUGGGAUACAAUAGUAAGAACCAGAUGGAAGAAAACACAGCUGUGCAAUUUUUAACAAUCGUCCAGAUUAGAUGUGCAUUUACUAACUGCAUAUAUUUUAGAUCAUCUUCCAAAAUAUAGUGAACUCUCAAUUCAUAAAAGAAAAUCGCACACGUUUCACACGCCGUUGUGUGCAAUUGAUUCUAGUUGUUUUCCUUUGUGAUGUAAUGAUGUAAAAACAACAUAUGAUUUGUUAAGGACAGACUGUUGGAUAUCAUCUGAUCUAAAAUGACAACUUGCCACCAAUGCCAACUUGCUCUUAAACAAGUAUAGCAUCUGGGUACUCAUAUUUGGCAUUGUAUGAAAGCUGAUAGGCAAUGCUUAAUAGCGGCAACAUGUUUAUGGUUUGUAAAAUCGAUAGCUGAUGGUCAGCCUUGAUAGCUGAUGGCCUGGCUUCUCGCCUUUUGUGUGCACUGAAGCUUCACGGCUGCCAGCAGCUCCUUAACUAUCUAAACUACAUGCAAAGGGAAACUAUAUAUGCUGAUGCAACUCACAGUGCUAGUGUUCACCAGAUAUUUUCAGAACUUGGAAUCCAAUUGUUAUCAUAGUUAUUGUUAACCAUUUCUGUGACUUGCAAUUACUAACAAAAUUGAGUGCAUAUUGAGAUGGCAUAGAUGGUCACUUCCAGCACUUGUUCAAGGAGGACUGCAAGCACUUGUUCAGGGAGCAGCCGCUCUGCAGCGGCGCACUGUCGAGGAGGAGCGACUCAGCGUUGCAUCCCAGCGCGCGUGGGAGCAGAGGAGGACCGACGGCGCUGGGAGGUGGUUGAGAACGACGGCGAGCUUGGGCGAGGAGCCGCAAGUAGGCCAGCGACGAGUGCACAUUGAGCAGAAGUGGAUUAGCUAUCAGCUCCUCAUGGCGGAGGUCGAGUACGAUGGCGAGCUGGGUGCGGUGCCGCGGGCAAGCCAACGGGGAGUGCACGGAGAAGAUAGCAACCGGCGGUGAGCAGGUGAGCGAUGCGAGCUCUGGUAGAAAGGUUGAUCACGAUGGUGGCGACAGUGAUCCCAGAUCGACCCAUCUCUCUGUUUGUUGAUCUUGCCCUGUCGUGUUUGCUGAUUCCUCGAUCUAUCGCGGGCAAACUUAUUACUCGGUGGCGGACGUCAAGGACGAUGGAGACAAGACAAGAUUACUGUUUGGAAUUCAAAUUUACAGGCGUCAUUUGAAGCGUUAUGAAUUUUUAGUAUUUUUUUUUUGCAAAAACAAUUUUGGACGGAGGCUCCGAUAUCCUUUCUAGGAUGGAGGGAGUGCAUUUUAUUAGCACCUAAAAUCGAUGUGAUACAAACCAAAGACGUGGAUGGCAGUACUUUUCAGAAUUAACUGUUGGAAUUGAGCUUGA
This is a long non-coding RNA of Lolium perenne, 2007 nucleotides long. RefSeq lists it as uncharacterized. Lineage: Eukaryota; Viridiplantae; Streptophyta; Magnoliopsida; Poales; Poaceae. The record is from RefSeq and is a predicted model, not a curated record.